This 262-nucleotide unclassified non-coding RNA is filed under the name uncultured fungus. Its description in RNAcentral is "partial contains small subunit ribosomal RNA, internal transcribed spacer 1, and 5.8S ribosomal RNA". The stretch from base 1 to 73 matches the Rfam family "Eukaryotic small subunit ribosomal RNA", at positions 1759 to 1831 of the family's 1831-position model. The record is from RNAcentral. Lineage: Eukaryota; Fungi.
GCAAACUUGGUCAUUUAGAGGAAGUAAAAGUCGUAACAAGGUAACCGUAGGUGAACCUGCGGUUGGAUCAUUAAAAAUUUUUAGUCUCUGGAUAAAACUAUCCAUGAUGGCUAUUAACACCUGUGCACUUUAUGUAUCUUGGGUUUGGUUUUUCCUACCCAAACGUUUUUAAACCCCUAUUGAUUUAGUCUGAAUUUUGAUAUUAAAAUAUACAACUUUUGACAACGGAUCUCUAGGCUCUCGCAUCGAUGAAGAACGCAGC